UUUGUUUGCUUAUUGGUGGGUUAUGAAUUGGUAUAAUCAGAAUAGCUAUUUUGAAGGUUGCUAAAACAACUCUAAGUUAGCAGAUGCAAAUAGUUAUUGACCAUAAAUUUGGUUUUAGAGAAUUGGUUUAUUGUGUUGUGUCACCUGGUCGGAUUUUCUUGUAUCAUGUUGUAAUAGGGUCAACAUUGUUAUCGUGCACAAAGCUGUGCAUUCAAGGAAAUACAUAUGGAUAGCAUUUAGAAAUUGGCCAUCUAGGUGUGCUAUACUGCG
This 270-nucleotide unclassified non-coding RNA is filed under the name Hevea brasiliensis (rubber tree). Lineage: Eukaryota; Viridiplantae; Streptophyta; Magnoliopsida; Malpighiales; Euphorbiaceae. The record is from RNAcentral.